AGGAUUAUAGUUUAUAUUAAAAUAUUUAGCUUGCAACUAAAAGAUACAAAGGUUAACCCUU
This 61-nucleotide transfer RNA is filed under the name Pseudoniphargus sp. 2-Canaries. RNAcentral's name for it is "tRNA-Ala". Lineage: Eukaryota; Metazoa; Arthropoda; Malacostraca; Amphipoda; Allocrangonyctidae. The record is from RNAcentral.